Molecule: ribosomal RNA, 3061 nt
Filed under: human gut metagenome
Description: bacterial LSU rRNA
Rfam family: Bacterial large subunit ribosomal RNA
Source: RNAcentral
GUUGCCCGUGAAGGGCGUAUGGUGGAUGCCUUGGCAGACAGUACCGAUGAAGGACGUGUGAGGCUGCGAUAAGCCUCGGGGAGCCGCCAGCAGGGCUUUGAUCCGAGGAUUUCCGAAUGGGGGAACCCGCCGGCCGUCAUGGGCCGGCACCGCGUUCGCGCGGGGGGUACGCAGGGAAGUGAAACAUCUCAGUACCUGCAGGAAAGGAUAUUCCGUGAGUAGUGGCGAGCGAAAGCGGAUCAGGCCAAACCGCGCGCGUGUGACAGGCGCCAGCCGUUGCGCGCGUGGUGUUGAGGGAGCGUGUGUCCGGGUCCUGGCGGGCCCGGCCGGAGUGAUAAAACGGCGUGUGAGGCGAACCGGAUUGAAUGCCGGGCCGCAGAGGGUGAUGGCCCCGUAGCCGAACGUGCGUCGUCUCCCGGUCGCGUCUCCCAAGUAGCACGGGCCCCGUGGAAUCCCGUGCGAAUCUGCCCGGACCGUCGGGUAAGCCUAAGUAUAUCUGUCUGACCGAUAGCGUACUAGUACCGUGAGGGAAAGGUGAAAAGCACCCCGGGAGGGGAGUGAAACAGUUCCUGAAACCGUGCGCCUACAAUCCGUCGGAGCCUCCUUGGGGGGUGACGGCGUGCCUAUCGAAAAAUGAGUCUGCGAGUCAGUGGUGCGUGGCGAGCGUAAGCCGUGUGGUGUACGCGUAGCGAAGGCGAGUCUUAAAAGGCGUUUGAGUCGCGCGCCCUGGACCCGAAGCGGGAUGAUCUAGCCCUGGGCAGGUUGAAGCGCGGGUAAGACCGCGUGGAGGACCGAACCCACCUGGGUUGAAAACCGGGGGGAUGACUUGGGGCUAGGGGUGAAAGGCCAAUCAAAUUCCGUGAUAGCUGGUUCUCUCCGAAAUGCAUUUAGGUGCAGCGUCGGGUGAUUGCGUCCGGGGGGUAGAGCUACUGGAUGCUUGCGGGCCCAUAUCGGGUACCAACAGCAACCAAACUCCGAAUACCCGUGACGCGUAUCCCGGCAGUGAGUCGGCGGGGGAUAAGCUCCGUCGUCGAAAGGGAAACAGCCCAGACCGUCGUCUAAGGUCCCCAAGCGCGUGCUAAGUGGGAAAGGAUGUGGAGUCGCAUAGACAGCCAGGAGGUUGGCUCAGAAGCAGCCACCCUUGAAAGAGUGCGUAACAGCUCACUGGUCUAGUGGUUCCGCGCCGACAAUGUAGCGGGGCUCAAGCACGCCACCGAAGACGCGGCAGCGUUUCGUACGCUGGGUAGGAGAGCGUCCCCUGCGGGGCGAAGCGGCGGAGUAAUCCUGCCGUGGACCGUUGGGGAGUGAGAAUGCAGACAUGAGUAGCGAGAGGCGGGUGCGAAUCCCGCCCGCUGGAUGACCAAGGGUUCCGGGGCCACGUUCGUCGUCCCCGGGUGAGUCGGGUCCUAAGGCGAGGCCGACAGGCGUAGUCGAAUGGAUGAACGGGCUGAUAUUCCCGUACCGGCAGCGAACCGAAACAACCGAGGCCUGGGGUGCUAACCUCCGGGUCCGUGCCGUCUCCCCUUUCGGGGGGUCGCGGCGCGGGCGCGUUGGGAUCCCCCCUCGUAGUAGGUCAGCGCAGGAGUGACGCAGAAGGGUAGCCGGCCGCGGAGGUGGUUUUCCGUGGCCAAGCACGCAGCCCGUCCCCCAGGCAAAUCCGGGGGGCAUCAGGGCGAGGUGCGAUGGUGGGGCCCGUAUGGGCCGAAUCCGGUGAUCCCGGCUGCCGAGAAAAGCUUCGGCGUCAGGCUGUCAGCCGCCCGUACCCCAAACCGACACUGGUGGUCAGGUAGAGAAUACCAAAGCGAUCGAGCGAAUCCUGGUCAAGGAACUCGGCAAAUUACUCCCGUGCCUUCGGUAUAAGGGAGACCCCUGCGGGUGAACCAGCUAGCCUGGGGAGCGUGCGGGGGUGGCACAGACCAGGGGGUAGCGACUGUUUACCAAAAACACAGGAGCGUGCGAAGGCGCAAGCCGCUGUAUACGCUCUGACGCCUGCCCGGUGCCGGAAGGUUAAGAGGAUCCGUCAGCUUCUGCGAAGCGGUGAAUUCAAGCCCCGGUAAACGGCGGUGGUAACUAUAACCAUCCUAAGGUAGCGAAAUUCCUUGUCGGGUAAGUUCCGACCUGCACGAAUGGCGUAAUGAUGGCCAGGCUGUCUCCACCCGAGACUCAGUGAAAUUGAACUCGCUGUGAAGAUGCAGUGUACCCGCGGCAAGACGGAAAGACCCCGUGAACCUUUACUAUAGCUUGACACUGAACAUUGAGCCUUGAUGUGUAGGAUAGGUGGGAGGCUUUGAAGUGUGGACGCCAGUCUGCAUGGAGCCGACCUUGAAAUACCACCCUUUAAUGUUUGAUGUUCUAACGUUGACCCGUAAUCCGGGUUGCGGACAGUGUCUGGUGGGUAGUUUGACUGGGGCGGUCUCCUCCUAAAGAGUAACGGAGGAGCACGAAGGUUGGCUAAUCCUGGUCGGACAUCAGGAGGUUAGUGCAAUGGCAUAAGCCAGCUUGACUGCGAGCGUGACGGCGCGAGCAGGUGCGAAAGCAGGUCAUAGUGAUCCGGUGGUUCUGAAUGGAAGGGCCAUCGCUCAACGGAUAAAAGGUACUCCGGGGAUAACAGGCUGAUACCGCCCAAGAGUUCAUAUCGACGGCGGUGUUUGGCACCUCGAUGUCGGCUCAUCACAUCCUGGGGCUGAAGUAGGUCCCAAGGGUAUGGCUGUUCGCCAUUUAAAGUGGUACGCGAGCUGGGUUUAGAACGUCGUGAGACAGUUCGGUCCCUAUCUGCCGUGGGCGCUGGAGAACUGAGGGGGGCUGCUCCUAGUACGAGAGGACCGGAGUGGACGCAUCACUGGUGUUCGGGUUGUCAUGCCAAUGGCACUGCCCGGUAGCUAAAUGCGGAAGAGAUAAGUGCUGAAAGCAUCUAAGCACGAAACUUGCCCCGAGAUGAGUUCUCCCUGACUCCUUGAGAGUCCUGAAGGAACGUUGAAGACGACGACGUUGAUAGGCCGGGUGUGUAAGCGCAGCGAUGCGUUGAGCUAACCGGUACUAAUGAACCGUGAGGCUUAACCUU